GAUGAACGCUGGCGGCGUGCCUAAUACAUGCAAGUCGAGCGAACAGACGAGGAGCUUGUUCCUCUGACGUUAGCGGCGGAGGGGAGAGUAACACGUGGAUAACCUACCUAUAAGAGUGGGAUAACUUCGGGAAAGCGGAGCUAAUACCGGAUAAUAUAUUGAACCGCAUGGUUCAUUAGUGAAAGACGGCUUUUGUGUCACUUAUCGAUGGAUCCGCGCUGGAUGAGCUGGUUGGUAAGGUAAAGGCUUACAACGGGUAGGAUGCGUAGCCGGCGUGAGUGAGUGAUCGCCCACCCUGGAGCGUGAACACGGUCCAUACGCCUGAGGGAGGCAGCAGUAGCGAACCUUCCGCAAUGGUGGGAAGCCUUACGCAGCAACGCCGCGUGAGUGAUGAAGAUCUUCGGAUCGUAAAACUCGGUUAUUAGGGAAGAACAAAUGUCGAAGGAACUAUGGAGGUCUUGACGGUACCGAGUCAGAAAGCAACGGCUAACUACGUG
RNAcentral lists this ribosomal RNA (497 nucleotides) under uncultured bacterium. Its description in RNAcentral is "partial 16S ribosomal RNA". It matches the Rfam family "Bacterial small subunit ribosomal RNA", at positions 28 to 507 of the family's 1533-position model. The record is from RNAcentral.